CCUAAUUGGAGAGAACCUGAUUAUAGAGUAGAGAGAGAAACUGGAGUAUUUCAUAUAUGCCAAAAGGAAGCAGUACAAACUUAUAUAUACAUGCACUUAUUUUGUACAAUAGUAACCAGCUGUAGAAUUGACAUCACAACCUAACUAUCUAGCUGAAUUGCCAAAUUACAUAAAUAACCUUGCAUGUCCCGUAAGACUCCCCCUCAAGAUGGUUGAUGAAUAUUCCAAACACCCAUCUUGGAUAACAGCAACUGAAAUCUAGCUCCUCCUAACACCUUUGUCAACAAAUCUGCUAUCUGAUUUUGAGUGGACAGAUACAUGGUCUUUAUGUCUCUAGCUUGCACCUUUUCUCUUACUAGAUGGCAAUCCAGCUCUAUGUGCUUCGUCCUUUCAUGAAAAAUCGGGUUACCAGCUAUGUGUAUUGCUACCUGAUUAUCAUAGAACAGUAGAGCAGCCUUAGUGUGAUCAACUCCUAGGUCUGCCAACACAUUAUUGAGCCAAAUUAUUUCACAGACUGUUGUAGCCAUAGCCUUGUACUCUGCCUCAGCUGAUGAUCUUGAGAUGGUAUGUUGCUUCUUUGAUCGCCACGAUAUUAGGGAAUUCCCAAGAAACACGCAAAAGCCUG
Molecule: long non-coding RNA, 625 nt
Filed under: Olea europaea subsp. europaea
Lineage: Eukaryota; Viridiplantae; Streptophyta; Magnoliopsida; Lamiales; Oleaceae
Source: RNAcentral